GUAUUCCGCUCCAUAGCGUAUAUUAAAGUUGUUGCAGUUAAAAAGCUCGUAGUUGAAUUUCGGGGUUAGUAGGCUGGUCGUGCCACAGGUACGUACUGGUCUCACUGAUUCCUCCUUCCUGAUGAACCGUAAUGCCAUUAAUUUGGUGUUGCGGGGAAACUGGACUGUUACUUUGAAAAAAUUAGAGUGUUUAAAGCAGGCUAACGCUUGAAUACAUUAGCAUGGAAUAAUGAAAUAGGACGUUCGAUCCUAUUUUGUUGGUUUCUAGGAUUGACGUAAUGAUUAAUAGGGAUAGUUGGGGGCAUUAGUAUUCAAUUGUCAGAGGUGAAAUUCUUGGAUUUAUUGAAGACUAACUACUGCGAAAGCAUUUGCCAAGGAUGUUUUCAUUAAUCAAGAACGAAAGUUAGGGGAUCGAAGACGAUCAGAUACCGUCGUAGUCUUAACCAUAAACUAUGCCGACUAGGGAUCGGAUGAUGUUAAUUUUUUAAUGACUCAUUCGGCACCUUACGGCAAAC
RNAcentral lists this ribosomal RNA (515 nucleotides) under uncultured Glomus. Its description in RNAcentral is "SSU rRNA". It matches the Rfam family "Eukaryotic small subunit ribosomal RNA", at positions 579 to 1098 of the family's 1831-position model. Lineage: Eukaryota; Fungi; Glomeromycota; Glomeromycetes; Glomerales; Glomeraceae. The record is from RNAcentral.